This 5040-nucleotide long non-coding RNA is filed under the name Marmota monax (woodchuck). Lineage: Eukaryota; Metazoa; Chordata; Mammalia; Rodentia; Sciuridae. The record is from RNAcentral.
UCACCGAAUACUCAUGGUUCACUUGGUAGCAAUGAUCAGAAUUUCUUUUAUUCCAUUACAAUCUUAAUAAUAUCUGUAAUACUCAAGUCAUACAUCACACAAUGAUAGAUGGGUUUUAGAAAGUCUAAGAUAAAGCCAGACAUGGUGGCACACACCUGUAACCCCAGCGACUUGAAAGGCUGAGUCGGGAGGAUUGCAAAUUGGAGGCCAGCCUCGGAAAUUUAACGAAGACCCCUCUCAAAAUACAACAUUAAAAAGGUUGAAAUAUGGGCUGGGGAUAUAGCUCAGUUGAUAGAGCACUUGCCUCACAUGCACAGCACACCUGAAAAAAAAAAGGGUUGAAAUAUAGCUCUGUAGUAAAACACCCCUGGAUUCAGUCCCAGUUACCGUAGAUAGAUAAAUAAUGCCAAGUUUAUCUGGCUCCAGCAACUAGUUUCUUUUCACUACUGUCUCUUGUCCUCCUUUAUGAGCUUGACGAUGCUCCCAUUUUCAUCCAUCACUACUGUGACCCCAAAUUAUGUUUAUGGAGCAUCUUUGCAUAAUGGUUAAGCACACAAGCAUUUGGAGCUGCAGCAGUUUAGAUAUUCAAAUAUGUCUGGUGCUGCUGGAGGUCCUUGAGGAGGAAGGGAAUUUGCAUGGGGAGGGCUAGACCAAGUACCCAUUGUGAUCUCCUUUCACUUGGGUUAUGCAGACCUUUUCUGGGUUUUUUUCACAAACAAGAGAACAAGUCAGCAAACUGUUAUUACAGAAGGAAAAGGUCUUGGCAGGAUAUAUUGCCUUUCUUUUUUUCUGGAGAAGGCAGAACAGAGGAAGGAAUGAGGUAGAUGGAGCCACAUCUAUCCCUGGUAGAUUGACAUUAAAAACAGAAAGGAGAUUGGGCUGGGUGUGUAGCUCAUUGGUAGAGCUCACGUAUGAGACCCUGUCUUCAACCCCCAGCACCAAAGCAACACAAAACAACAGAAGAUUAGAAAUAAUAUCAUAGCAAAGCAUUUUGAGGAUUUAAAAUCCCUUACUAUUUGUGAGUGUUGUUUCUUUACCAAGCCAGUUAACUCUCACAUGCAUGCUAUAAUUAAUCUUUCUCCAAAUAUUUUAAAGUUGUGGGAGCAGGCAUUAAUUUGCCCAUUUUUCAGAUCAUUAGAUUGCAUACCCAGAUCUUCCAAGUUUCAUUGGCAACAGAAUUCUGGUUCUAAGGUAGAGGGUUCUGACAGAUUCUUUACUUGACCAAACUUUAGUCAGUUUACUAAAUCUUUUAGACCCACCUGUGUACUUCUUGUAAAAUUCUGUUUCAGCAAUAAACCCUGCUAAGUCAGUUUAGCUGAAAUCCGUCCCCUCAAUUCUCCAUAUCUUAUCUCCUAGAUACCUGAUUGAGUUCCUCAUCCUCUGCCAUGCCCUAGGUGAUGUCUGAUAUCCUGGCCUUUGUCCAUAAUUCUGUUAGGUUGCUUUAGCCAGAAUCCUUCUUCUUUUUUUUUUUUUCCUAUAUUUUAUCUUUUUUAGCUACACAUGACAUUACAAUGAUCUUGGCAAUUCAUACAUUUGAAUCAUUGGGGUAUAAUUUCUCAUUUUUCUAAUUGUACAGAUUGCAGAAUCACAAUGGUCAUAGAGUCACCUAUAUACAAACAUCUUUCUUACACCUGAUGUUUAUUCUUAGUAAUUUUCCAUCCAAUUAUCCCCGCCCUCUGAUCCUAUCAAUUCCCACUUGCCAAUGCUGUAUUUGGAGUAAGGCCCAAUCUCUGCCUUUUACUGCAAAAAUCCCAUUUCAGUGGUCCCUGUUGGUACCAGUCCCCAAAUUAGGUGUUCCUUGCUGUACUCUAACAAGGACUCAAUAAUUUUUUCUUUUAAUAUUUUAUUUUUUAGUUGUAGUUAGACACAAUACCUUUAUUUCACUUAUUAUUAUUUUUUUUUAAUGUGGUGCUGAGGAUGGAACCCAGGGUCUUGCAUGUGUGAGGUGAGCACUCUACCGCUGAGCCACAACCCCAGCCCAAUUUUUUUUUUUUAUAGUUGUCUAACUCUAGUUUUAUUCUCUUUUCAUUUUCUUUGGCAAAUGUCUUUGCAGCACUCCAGCAUACUGUAUCUGUGAACUUUUUCCAGGAAGAAGAUAGGGAAGUGUUCAGAGUUGCAAUAGACGGGAAGCUUGCCUGGCUGUGUUCUAAGAAAAAUCAAGUUUUGAUCACCCCCUACUGGGCAAGCCUGCUGAUGGCAACAAAAAUAAACGUGGAAGAAAUGAGCGAGGAAAACUGAGAAAAGAACCAUUUUAGAGAAAAACAUGACCAUGCUGGAAAAGGAGGAAGGGAGUCAGGGACAGCAUUGAACACGGGUAGUUAUUCCCCCUUUUGGAUUUCUGCUACAAAGGGCACAGGAAUCUGACUUCUUUUGUCAAGCUACAAUAAUCUCCCAAGACAACAGAGAAUGGAGCAAUGUUCAGCAAGUAAAGUGGGACUGUCCAGAUGUCAUUUAAGGGAGUUCAGGUCCCCAGGCACCACAUUUUAUGCUCCAGGAUUCAGAAGCAGCUUCUAAUCAUAAAACUCCUACCUCUAGGCGAGUUUUAGGACAAACACAUGUGAUUAUUUUUCAAACAUUUUAAAGGGCUAACAAGAACAACUAGAGGUUUUUUUGUUUUGUUUUGUUUUGGGAUACCAGGGAUUGAGCCCAGGGGCACUCAGCCACUGAGCCACAUCCCCAGACCUAUUUUGAAUUUUAUUUAGGGACAGGGUCUACACUGAAUUGCUUAGCACCUCACUGUUGCUGAGGCUGGCUUUGAACUCACAACUCUCCUGUCUCAGCCUCCCAAGCCACUGGGACCACCACACCCUGCACAACUGAGGUAUUUUGUGAUAAAAAGACUAGGAUCAGUGAGUUGCAAUUAUAUGGAAGCAUAUUUAUGCUUUCAUUUAAAGAACUUUAAGCAAUUAUCCAUCUCCAAAAGAAGGAAAUUAUCUUCUAGAAUUGUACCUGGCCACAGAAACAGAAGUCCAGGCCAGCAUAGAAGGGAUGGGGCAAAAAGAGCUUGGACUGUGGGUACUCACAAUGACAUUCAUUCAGUCUGCAUUUAUUAGGGCCUUCUCAUUCAUCAUUGCCCAUAUCAGUAAUUAUUUGUUUAGAUAUCUGCCAAGAAUUGUAUAUUUUUCAUUUUAAGUUUUUCCUGUCCUAUCACAAUGCCUGGCAUAUUAUAGGUUCUUAAUAAUUGUCGAAGGGGACAGAUGAGGCAGGACACUGAAGACAGUAGGAAGCAGUUUUAUUUGGGUGCAGCCAGGUUCAGAGGGUAAAGCUUUCACUGUAAUCAAUUAAUCCCCCUGAACCCAGAGUUCAGGCAGUUUCAGAACUUUAUACCCAGUGUGUAAAGGGUAGGGCUCAGAAGUUCACAGUCUGUAGAAGUUCACACAAAAGCAGCUUUUUCUUUCACUGCUCUGGGCAAGUUUACCCUUCAAGGACAACACCUGAGAAGGGGAGAGCUGCUUCUCCCCUUUCUUCCCUCCACCUGCCAGCUGUUUCCAUGAAGCCCAAUUAGCAACAUCUUCUCUUUGGAAUGUAAACAUCUCAGUGAAGCUCCAGCCGAAGGCAAGAGGCCUCCUUAAAAGAAUGUUUUUUUUAUCAUACUCUGUAUUUGCAGACACACUUCCCUUGAAAACUUUUACAAAAAGUAACAAUAUUUAUAGUUAAAUAUUGUAAUAUAUAGUUAUAUAUUAUAACUAUAUAUGUAUAUAUAUACAUAUAUAGUUACAAUAUAUAACUAUAUAUAGAGCUGUACAUGUACAGAAUGUGUAUGUGUGUAUAUAUGUAUGUAUGUACAUAUAUAUGUAUGUGUAUGUGUGUGUAUAUAUAUAUAUAUAUAUAUAUAUAUAUAUAUUCCAUAAAUGUUUGUGAAAAAUUAGUAAAAGAUGUUCAGCACCUGGAGUGCUGAUCUCUUUGAGGCCCCUGGCCAAAUUUAAUUGUAAGAUAGAGCAACAGGAAAUAGGAAGCUUAAGUACAUUGAACUCUUUUGUAGAGAUUCUUUUGCUGAUAGUCCUAAGAUCAAUUAUGGUGAAGAUUUCUGGAGAAGCUUAAUUAAGAUUUUCUGUGGAGGAGGGGAUGCCACUACAUAAACUGAUUGGGAAUCAAAACCAUUCUGAAGAGGAAGUGCAUAUGACACAUCACAGUGCACCAUAAGUCACAUCUACUAACUUUUUCCUUGUCUACUCUUUUGGGGUUUUGUCAUGUGGUUGUGGUUAUAUUAAUGGAAGGAAACAAUGGAUCAUCCUAAAUUAACCUUUUUUUUUUUAAUAUUUAUUUAUUUAUUUUUCGGCGGACACAACAUCUUUGUUUGUAUGUGGUGCUGAGGAUCGAACCCGGGCCGCACGCAUGCCAGGCGAGCGCGCUACCACUUGAGCCACAUCCCUAGCCCCAACCUUUUUUUUUUUUUUUUUUUGGUACUGGGGGUUGAACACAAGGAUGCUUUACCACUGAGGUACAUUUUUAGUUUGAGACAGGAUCUCACUAAGUUAUGGAGGGUCUUGCUGAGUUGCUGAGGCUGGCCUUGAACUUGCAAUCCUCCUACCUCAGCCUCCUAAAUGCUGAGAUUACAAGAGUGCACCACCACACCCGCUUAUAUUAACUCAUUUUAAUACAGUACGAUUUAGAUGAAUAACACUGAAAUAAUUUUUAAUGACUUUUUAAAAAAUCUCUUGAGGGCUGGGGAGGUAGCUCAGUAGUAGAGCAUUUGCCUAACACACAUGAUGCCCUGGAUUUGAUCCCCAGCUCAAAAAAGUGUGAAUCUUGCCUAAUGUCUUCUCUGAUAAGGGGGGUGACUCAAAUUGGUGUUGGGAGGGAGAGCAAGGGAGGAAGAUUACCUCUAAAUAGGGAAUAGGGGUGGGAGGGAAAGGGAGGGAGAAGGGGAAUAGCAUGGAUGGUGAAAGGAGACCCUCAUCAUUAUACAAAAUACAUGUAUAAAGAUGUGAAUUCGGUGUCAACAUACCUUAUAUAUAAUCACAGAUAUGAUAAAUUAUUGUAUAAUGGUGUAUUAAGAAUCGUAAUGCAAAAAUAAAUAAAUAAAUAAAUAAAUAAAUA